This 68-nucleotide transfer RNA is filed under the name Ostrea edulis (European flat oyster). RNAcentral describes it as "tRNA-Glu". The record is from RNAcentral. Lineage: Eukaryota; Metazoa; Mollusca; Bivalvia; Ostreida; Ostreidae.
UCUAGGCUGGUGUAUUUAAGCACAUAAAAUUUUCGUUUUUAUAGAGGGGGGGAACUUCCCGCCUAGAU